AUUGAACGCUGGCGGCAUGCCUUACACAUGCAAGUCGAACGGCAGCACGGAAGCUUGCUUCUGGUGGCGAGUGGCGAACGGGUGAGUAAAGCAUCGGAACGUGCCCUGAAGUGGGGGAUAACGUAGCGAAAGUUACGCUAAUACCGCAUAUUCUGUGAGCAGGAAAGCAGGGGAUCGCAAGACCUUGUGCUUUAGGAGCGGCCGAUGUCGGAUUAGCUAGUUGGUGGGGUAAAAGCUCACCAAGGCGACGAUCCGUAGCGGGUCUGAGAGGAUGAUCCGCCACACUGGGACUGAGACACGGCCCAGACACCUACGGGUGGCUG
RNAcentral lists this ribosomal RNA (323 nucleotides) under uncultured Pseudomonadota bacterium. RNAcentral describes it as "bacterial SSU rRNA". It matches the Rfam family "Bacterial small subunit ribosomal RNA", at positions 30 to 351 of the family's 1533-position model. Lineage: Bacteria; Pseudomonadati; Pseudomonadota. The record is from RNAcentral.